CGGUGGAGCAUGUGGUUUAAUUCGAAGCAACGCGAAGAACCUUACCAGGCCUUGACAUGCAGUAGAACUUUCCAGAGAGUGGAUUGGUGGCCUUCGGGAACUCUGACACAGGUGCUGCAUGGCUGUCGUCAGCUCGUGUCGUGAGAUGUUGGGUUAAGUCCCGUAACCGAGCGCAACCCUUGUCCUUAGUUACCAGCACGUUAUGGUGGGCACUCUAAGGAGACUGCCGGUGACAAACCGGAGGAAGGUGGGGGACGACGUCAAGUCAUCAUGGCCCUUAUGUCCUGGGCUACACACGUGCUACAAUGGCCGGUACAGAGUGAAGCGAAACCGCGAGGUGAAGCAAAACGCAGAAAGCCGGUCUCAGUACGGAUUGGAGUCUGAAACUCGACUUCAUGAAGUUGGAAUCGCUAGUAAUCGCGCAUCAGCAUGGCGCGGUGAAUACGUUCCCGGGCCUU
This 458-nucleotide ribosomal RNA is filed under the name uncultured Spirochaeta sp. RNAcentral's name for it is "bacterial SSU rRNA". It matches the Rfam family "Bacterial small subunit ribosomal RNA", at positions 930 to 1382 of the family's 1533-position model. Lineage: Bacteria; Pseudomonadati; Spirochaetota; Spirochaetia; Spirochaetales; Spirochaetaceae. The record is from RNAcentral.